GCAAAGAUCAUUCAAACAAGACAUUAGUACCCAGCAGAAGCAGGCACCUGCAGUACCCAAGCCUGAGAAAUCACAAGGGGACCUCGAAAAUGAAGCAAGGAAGUAUAAACAAGCUAGAGCAAGAUACAGCACAGGUGUGCAGCCAGCAGAGCCCAGGAGUACACAGGUACUCACUAGCAUCCUCAAAAGAUUCAGACCCUUUAGAAACAGCCUCCAAAAAGCUCUCCCUGCAAUCCGCUUUCUUCUUCCAGGACCCCUGUAAACUAAUUGGCCUUUGCCCCUCCUUUGCCAACCUCCCAUCUAAGGCAGCAUAAUUGCUGCCAAUUAUCUCUCCUGGUGGCCAAGCUAGUGAAAGGACAAGGUUUGCAGUGAAGGGGGUCUUCAGCUUAACUAGUUCUUUGGGAUUCACAGUAGAAAGCAAGAACCCAAAAGAUUGCUGCUAUAAUAAACUUUGAUUUGAGAAAAGCACUGUAGUUGUGAAGGCAUCUCCCAGCAUUCGAAAUAGGAAAUCAAAUACCGAGGCAAACAGCAGUGCUGUUGAAAGAUGAGUAAUGGUCAGAAGCUAAGAUGUGCUCAGAAACCAGGGCAUCAUCUGAAAGGCAGCAUCAAAAGGCAGCUUCUGAAUAGCUAAUUCAGAAUGGUAUCAGUGUGACGAAAAUGGCUUUCUGCGUUGUGUUUCAAGAGGCAAUAUGUUCUGUAUUGAAUUCGAGAACUCACAGCUUAACAAAAUCAGUGAGUAGCCGGCCUCAUUUGGCAACCUGUGUGCUCAAUAAGCAGCAUGUGAUAACUUCAACAUUUAUCUAUCUGAACACUGGGAGACUCACUCACUCACCGCACAGGAAGUCGCUGCCAUCGCUGCAAUUUCAAAGAAGACCAAAGCAAUGCAUCUUUGAAGCAGCCUCAUGGAACCACGAAGAAGGCCAGGCUGCUAAUGCCUGAGAAUGGCCCAGUGGCUUAGCACAUGUCCUCACUCUGACCUGGGAAUGAUCCAGACCAAGUCUGACUUCUGGGUGUUUGGUAGGUCUUGAAAUGUUUGAAAAUGACUCUCUUCUAAGCACUCAGGCGCAGCUCACUCAACUGGUAUUGCAACUAUUCAUCACCGCUUCUCCCCUCCUUGGUACACUCUGGGCAUUUUCCCUUCCUAGAGGGCCACCUGCAGUGUCCAGCCAUAUGCAGCUGGAUCGGGUCACAAU
RNAcentral lists this long non-coding RNA (1193 nucleotides) under Marmota monax (woodchuck). Lineage: Eukaryota; Metazoa; Chordata; Mammalia; Rodentia; Sciuridae. The record is from RNAcentral.